AUUGAACGCUGGCGGCAUGCUUUACACAUGCAAGUCGAACGGUAACAGGUUAAGCUGACGAGUGGCGAACGGGUGAGUAAUGCAUCGGAACGUGCCCGGUCGUGGGGGAUAACGCAGCGAAAGCUGCGCUAAUACCGCAUACGAUCUGAGGAUGAAAGCGGGGGACCGUAAGGCCUCGCCCGAUCGGAGUGGCCGGUGUCAGUUUAGGUAGUUGGUGGGGUCAAGGCUCACCAAGCCAACGAUCUGUAGCUGGUCUGAGAGGACGACCAGCCACACUGGGACUGAGACACGGCCCAGACUCCUACGGGAGGCAGCAGUGGGGAAUUUUGGACAAUGGGCGAAAGCCUGAUCCAGCAAUGCCGCGUGCAGGAAGAAGGCCUUCGGGUUGUAAACUGCUUUUGUACGGAGCGAAAAGGUCUCCUCUAAUACAGGGGGCUCAUGACGGUACCGUAAGAAUAAGCACCGGCUAACUACGUGCCAGCCGCCGCCGUAA
This 493-nucleotide ribosomal RNA is filed under the name uncultured bacterium. Its description in RNAcentral is "partial 16S ribosomal RNA". It matches the Rfam family "Bacterial small subunit ribosomal RNA", at positions 30 to 523 of the family's 1533-position model. The record is from RNAcentral.